GCACAUGCGCAGAAUCAUCGUUGUGCACGGCUCUCCCUUUGCUUCUUCGGUUGCAGUCCUCUUGCUUCUUGCGCGUGCGUGUAGCGCUUUUGCAAAGCCGCCGAGGUGAAGCGAACGUAGAGGCUGUGGGGCCGAGGGUCCUCUUAUAGCUAUCAGCCCACAGGCAUUUAGUCUACGUUGGAGAUAAACAAAUACGGGUCCAGCUUAGGAGAAAAGAAAAACGUCUUACAGCCAGUGUCUAAACUCCAAACAACGGAAUCUAUCAAUGAGACCUUGUAUAUGGAUACACGUGCAUUUAAAACGGCCCUGCCGGCGUGUAGAGCUCUUGCCGUUCGCCAGCGCUUUACAGGGGUUAUCGCACUUAAGCCUCGGAACAACUUUAAAAGAUGAGGACACCUGAGGCUCAGAUUAAGAAAUCUGCCCCAAAGUCUUAGAACUGUGAUUCUACCAGAAAGGAAUGAAGAACAGAACCUUCAGGAAUUGAGUCACAAUGCAGACAAAUAUCAAAUGGGAGAUUGUUGCAAGGAAGAGAUUGAUGAUAGUAUUUUCUACUAGCCAUUGGGAAGAUAAAAGGAGACAGAAGAUUGAAGCCUUUGCCAGCCAUUCUUUCCCUUUUUGCUUCCAAACUCCUCAACUGGAAACCUUCAUAUGUGCAGUAUUUAUAUUGGAUCAUACUGGUGAUUAUAAAGGUUCCUAGGAGGCUAGAAGAGCCAACCAACAGAGAAGGGAAAGCAGUCUGUUCUGAACAUAGGGACAUAAGUUCAUUCAUGCCAAGUAUCUUUCCAGCAUGUUUCUCCCAUUUAGAACAUCUAGCAUGUAAGGCCUUUUAAUAUUAAUAUAAGCCCAGUAUCAGCUCUUUCCCUUUGUAUUUCAUCUCUUUCUACUCUCCUAUUUGUAUUUUGUGUUCCUAUCAAAGUGUCAUAUCUGGGAGAUGACCUGCCUGUUCCUGUUCUAUAACAGUUUUGUUUGCUGCUGUGUCUCUAGAACAGUGCCUGGCACACAGUAAGCACUCAAUAAACCUUUGAUGAAUGAAUGAAUGGUUAUCUUUUCUCUCUGGCAAUCCAAAUUCACCACUCCUUAAAAAUUCUACAUAAGAUUUGCCAGCUGGGCGCAAUGGCUCACGCCUGUAAUCCCAGCACUUUGGGAGACUGAGGCAGGUGGAUCACCUGAGGUCAGGAGUUUAGCCUCAACAUAGUGAAACCCCAUCUCUACUAAAAGUACAAAAAUUAACCGGGCGUGGUGGCAGGUGCCUGUAAUCCCAGCUACUUGGGAGACUGAGGCAGGAGAAUCACUUGAGCCCGGCAGGGGGGCAGAGGUUGCAGUGAGCCGAGAUCACGCCACUUCACUCCAGCCUGGGCAAAAGAGCGAAACUCCGUCUCCAAAAAAAAAAAAAAAAAAAAAAAAAGAUUUGCCUAUUCCAGCAGACUUCUACCCAAUAUCAAUCUAGAUUUAAAUCACUUUAUUUUCCACAUCUCUUUAGCAAUUAUGUAUAGUUUGCACUUCAUUAACCUACCCUUAUUUAUGUUACUUCUCACAUACACCCUUAUCUCUUCUGCAUUUUCAAUCAAAAGAUAAUGCUCAAAUGUUAUAUAUAUUGUAUGUGCCACUCAACAGUGCCUCAUAUGCUGCAAAAAAAAAAAAAAAAAAAAAA
Molecule: RNA transcript, 1651 nt
Organism: Nomascus leucogenys (northern white-cheeked gibbon)
Lineage: Eukaryota; Metazoa; Chordata; Mammalia; Primates; Hylobatidae
Source: RefSeq, a predicted model, not a curated record